UACGUAGGGAGCGAGCGUUGUCCGGAUUUACUGGGUGUAAAGGGUGCGUAGGCGGGUACGCAAGUCAGGCGUGAAAUACCGGGGCUCAACUCCGGGGCUGCGCUUGAAACUGUGAAUCUUGAGUGAAGUAGAGGCAGGCGGAAUUCCUAGUGUAGCGGUGAAAUGCGUAGAUAUUAGGAGGAACACCAGUGGCGAAGGCGGCCUGCUGGGCUUUAACUGACGCUGAAGCACGAAAGCAUGGGGAGCAAAC
This 250-nucleotide ribosomal RNA is filed under the name uncultured prokaryote. Its description in RNAcentral is "partial 16S ribosomal RNA". It matches the Rfam family "Bacterial small subunit ribosomal RNA", at positions 524 to 773 of the family's 1533-position model. The record is from RNAcentral.